GUGGGCUCGGUGGGAGGCCUCCACCGCGGCGUGACGGACGGUGUAGUGGGCGGCCGGCCUCGGCGGCGUGACGGUCAGCCUCACCCGGUGGUGCGACGGGCGGCCUCACCAUGGAGGGGCGUUGCGGCCUUGACGGUGGUGGGCGGGUGGCUAGAUCGGGCUGGUGUGCUCGAUGGCGGUCGGCGCACUGGCAGAAGGAUUCACCACGGUGUACUCUCUUCCUUGUUGAUUUUUAAUUUUUGUAAAUUCGGUCUCUCUGUGCUGUUGGAUGCAUGGCGAUGA
This 282-nucleotide long non-coding RNA is filed under the name Oryza sativa Indica Group (long-grained rice). RNAcentral's name for it is "lncRNA OsPr106_03g0019750". Lineage: Eukaryota; Viridiplantae; Streptophyta; Magnoliopsida; Poales; Poaceae. The record is from RNAcentral.